ACGUAUGAACGACUUUAAGUGUUCACACAGUUUGUUUGAUGGUUGUAGGCAAUGGAAGAACAAAGGAAAAAGUGAAAGAUAGUAUCUUUACAUGUUGUCCCCAUCGUCUAGAGGCCUAGGACAUCGCCCUUUCACGGCGGUAACCGGGGUUCGAAUCCCCGUGGGGACGCCAUUUAAAGAUGAUUAUCCGUCUUAUCUGUUCUUUAAAAAUCCGGAAACAAGCUGAAAACGAGACUUUCAAGGAAGUCUGAG
This 252-nucleotide transfer RNA is filed under the name Aggregatibacter actinomycetemcomitans. RNAcentral describes it as "partial 16S-23S spacer". The stretch from base 97 to 169 matches the Rfam family "tRNA". Lineage: Bacteria; Pseudomonadati; Pseudomonadota; Gammaproteobacteria; Pasteurellales; Pasteurellaceae. The record is from RNAcentral.